GAGUCGGAGUGGGACGAGCGGGAGGUUCCGAAGUUCCUGGCGUGGGUAGUUCAGCUCCUUGCUCGUUAUUACCAGAGCGAGAAGUUUCUUGUCGGGGGAGCUUCCAGGAUCCCGAGCAGAUGGAACGUCGCCCGCUCUCCUGCUGACCGUGCCAGAUACGGUUGUAAAAAAGGGACCGUACACAGACUGCCAUCUAAGUAGUAGUAAUCUGAGGAAGAGGCAAAUCUGCUGAAUACAAGUGACACCAGUUACUGAAGAAAUCCAUAAUGUCUGAUUCUGUUCCAAGAUCAGGUGAAAUGGUAAAAUCUACAAGUCAUUCCGAAUGGUCUUUUGGCAUACUCCCUGCUGUCUGGUUCUGAGCACUCCAGGCCUCGAGAGACUGGACAGACAAGCACAGCUGAAUUAAACUUCGUUGGGUCAACGGCUGGUAUUUUAUUCCUGGGAUCGCUUAUCCCUCCUGCCCUCUUCCUCUGCCCCAGGCUGAAAAGCAUCCCAUUGUCCAAAAGUAGCAGGUCUGAGAUAUUAUAUAAACUCUCACUGUGGAGAAAUAGUUCAGGAUAUUUUUCUGAUAAGCUUGUGAUUCAUGUCAUUAUCACAACUUAAGCCCCUUAUUUUCGGUAUCUCAUAGUACGCAUCUUGUCACCGUACUUCUCGUUAGAAAUAUAUGGAGAUUUUGAAAGAUUCAUUGAGGCUGUAGUGUUCUUCGAGGGUCUUCUAAGAAGGACGUGAUCAAUUAAGCACUUUUGUAGAAUAAAAAAAGGAAAAAGACUUUGGACAAACAUGGAAGAAGGAGAAUAUUGAUUACACUCACAUUUCCCUUUCUUGAACUUCUUAAGGUGCUGCAAAAAUCUAAAAUAAUGAACUUACUGGUAGAUUUCCAAUAGCAAAUUUGAUCUGAAAUUACUUACCACUAAUAUAAUACCCAAAACCAAAAUGAAAUUUUGUUCCUUCAAAGUAACUGCCUUUGAUGAAAUAAUAAGAAACUGGGAUGAGGCGGUGGGGGGGGGCAGUGAUGCAAGAUGAACCCCCAAAAUGGGUACACAUUCUAAAUUCCACUUAUCUUCGUACGUCUGACAGUUACAGUAGCCCAGAUCUAACUGGCUUUUCUGGUCACCUUGAUUUUGGAUUUAGUGCCUGUACAACUUUAUUCUUCGUCCUCUUUAAAAAAAAAAAAAAAAGAUUUUAUUAGAGCGAGCAAGUGCGUGCACAACCGGGGGGACGGGAGAGGGAGAAAGGGAGCCCAGUGCAGGGCUGAAUCCCAGAAUCAUGAGCUGAGCCAAAGGCAGUCACUUAACAACUAAGCCACCCAGAUGCCCCUGUUUUUCAUUCUUUGACAUCAGGUUCUUAAAAGGAACGAAAGCCAGACUACCUUCAUAAGAAGACUGCUUAUACAAGCCUUGAGUUGGUGACUAAGGAUGCCAGCUGUCCUUCCUGAUCACCAGAUAAGGGCAGUGUGAUAAAUUAUCCAAAAUUUAAAGCUGCUUUCUAGUUCAUACCAGGUGACAAGCUGCAGUAACAAUCUUCAGAGCAGAAUCAUUACCAAAAUGAUUUGUAAUUUGAGGUAAGAAUCACCUGAAAAGAAAACGACUAGCGUGGAGACACUACACUUGCAUUUCCACUCCUGUGGCUACAGGAUUGAGAGGUCAGAGAAACGAGCCAGACAUUUUGUGCAGCUAAGUUUAUUCUCACAACAUAGUACAUUAAAAUGUGUAAAAGUGGUCGACAGCAAACGGGGCAGAAAGCAAAAGCAAACGUUCUUUCGGGAUAAACAAGCCGCUUUGUAUGGCAGGGAGUGCUCUCACGG
Mustela erminea (ermine) is the source of this 1804-nucleotide long non-coding RNA. RefSeq lists it as uncharacterized. Lineage: Eukaryota; Metazoa; Chordata; Mammalia; Carnivora; Mustelidae. The transcript is spliced from 2 exons. The record is from RefSeq and is a predicted model, not a curated record.